UUUUGGACAAUGGGCGCAAGCCUGAUCCAGCAAUGCCGCGUGCAGGAUGAAGGCCUUCGGGUUUUAAACUGCUUUUGUACGGAACGAAAAGCCAUGGGUUAAUACCCUGUUGUCAUGACGGUACCGUAAGCAUAAGCACCGGCUAACUACGUUCCCGCACCCGCGGUAAUACGUAGGGUGCAAGCGUUAAGCGGAAUUACUGGGCGUAAAGCGUGCGCAGGCCGUUUUGUAAGACAGAGGUGAAAUCCCCGGGCUCAACCUGGGAACUGCCUUUGUGACUGCAAGGCUAGAGUACGGCAGAGGGGAAUGGAAUUCCGCGUGUAGCAGUGAAAUGCGUAGAUAUGCGGAGGAACACCGAUGGCGAAGGCAAUCCCCUGGGCCUGUACUGACGCUCAUGCACGAAAGCGUGGGGAGCAAACAGG
This 422-nucleotide ribosomal RNA is filed under the name uncultured bacterium. RNAcentral's name for it is "partial 16S ribosomal RNA". It matches the Rfam family "Bacterial small subunit ribosomal RNA", at positions 362 to 776 of the family's 1533-position model. The record is from RNAcentral.